GAUGAAGAACGCAGCGAAAUGCGAUAAGUAAUGUGAAUUGCAGAAUUCAGUGAAUCAUCGAAUCUUUGAACGCACAUUGCGCCCGCCAGUAUUCUGGCGGGCAUGCCUGUUCGAGCGUCAUUUCAACCAUCAAGCCCCCGGCUUGUGUUGGGGACCUGCGGCUGCCGCAGGCCCUGAAAAGCAGUGGCGGGCUCGCUGUCACACCGAGCGUAGUAGCAUACAUCUCGCUCUGGGCGUGCUGCGGGUUCCCGCCGUUAAACCACCUUCAUAACCCAAGGUUGACCUCGGAUCAGGUAGGAAGACCCGCUGAACUUAAGCAUAUCAAUAAGCGGAGGA
RNAcentral lists this unclassified non-coding RNA (336 nucleotides) under soil metagenome. RNAcentral describes it as "partial contains 5.8S ribosomal RNA, internal transcribed spacer 2, and large subunit ribosomal RNA". The stretch from base 1 to 120 matches the Rfam family "5.8S ribosomal RNA", at positions 35 to 154 of the family's 154-position model. The record is from RNAcentral.